Molecule: transfer RNA, 65 nt
Filed under: Myriopholis longicauda
Lineage: Eukaryota; Metazoa; Chordata; Lepidosauria; Squamata; Leptotyphlopidae
Description: tRNA-Val
Source: RNAcentral
CAAAAAGUAGCUUAAAAAAAGCAUUCGAUUAACGACCGAAUUAUAUUGUUCCCCGAUCUUUUUGA